AUGAACCAGAAAGAAGAGGAGGCAAGCGAUCUAGCAAUUGUACCAUGCUGCCCCACAAAUAGAGCACUGAGAGAAGGAGGGUUGCUUACAUGUAAUGAACCCUCAUCCUGUCUGCUGGAACUGGCAGUCAGCCUACCAUUCCUGUAAUGCAGAGCAUGUGUCAGCCCAGAGGGGUUUCAGAGGAGCCCACCAAUUCAUUUUCUUCUAGUCACAAAGCAGCUACCAGUAGAAGAGCUGGAUUCACACUGAUGAAAGGGCUUUUGCGAAUAUCACAGUGGAAAUCAUUUUGAGGUCUCUACACUGCAUUAUAAUCAUGACAGACCUACCUGGCAGACCAAAUAAUCUGAUCUCUCAAAACAUCUGGACAGCAAUCAAAGAACACUGCUACAAGAUGGUUAAAGUAGUCUUAAGAAAGACUAAUAACUUCUCAAUGUCAUGCAAGUUUGGGACAGAGACUUUCAGUUUCACUGAGAGAUGAUUGAAGUUUUGCAGAAGAUGUGAAUGUGGCAAGGAUUUCACUCCAGAUCCCAUGUCUCCCAGUUUCAUACUCCUUUUACCAGACUGUAACUAAGGGACUUUGGUGAUAUGGACUUUCAGUCCACAGUGUUUUUUAAUAAUACUGUGGUUUUAAGUAAAAGAGGCUUUUGUUCUGACUUUUGUCUUUUUGUUUGCCUUGAUUCAUGGGACUGCAGAGUGUGUACAGUAAGAAUGAAAUUGUCACUUCG
Molecule: long non-coding RNA, 725 nt
Filed under: Apteryx rowi (Okarito brown kiwi)
Lineage: Eukaryota; Metazoa; Chordata; Aves; Apterygiformes; Apterygidae
Description: lncRNA (ENSARWG00000005027.1)
Source: RNAcentral